This 1811-nucleotide long non-coding RNA is filed under the name Sus scrofa (pig). Its description in RNAcentral is "lncRNA (ENSSSCG00060049935.1)". Lineage: Eukaryota; Metazoa; Chordata; Mammalia; Artiodactyla; Suidae. The record is from RNAcentral.
AGGUUCAGGAAGAUUUGACUGAGGAGAAAAAAAGGCAACUGGAACAUAAUGCUGAGGAGACCUAUGGUGAAAAUGAUGAAAAUGCCGAUGAGAAAAACAAUGAUGGAGAAGAGCAAGAAGUUCGAGAGGACAACCGCCCCAAAGGCCGAGAGGAGCACUAUGAGGAGGAGGACGAGGAGGAGGAGGAUGGGGCGGCUGCUGCUGAGAAAUCACGGCGAAGAGCUGAAAUGUAGCAGUGCCCAAUCUCACAGACAGUGCUCAGCUGACGGAUUCUUUUCAAGCUGCUCAAAAAUAAAUCUGCCUACUGAACUCUAGGAUAUUUAAUUACAAAAAUUAAGAAUUUAGACUUUUUUAACUUUUAUAUUAGAAAUGCUCAUACAUUUAUAUGAAUAUAUUUUGAUAACCUAGCUUAGAGCCUCUUUUUAUAUUCAAGCAAAACAUGAAUGAGAAGAACAACAGCGAAGCAGACCUUAGGCUAUGAAUCUCAUUUUUCAUAGAUUAUGUGAUGUUGGAAGAGACAUUGAUUUUGUCUAUGUUUUAACUUGUUAACUUCUCUGUCUUCUAGUUUUCAGGUGUUCUGUUAUUUGCCUUUGAUGAAAUGCAGGGUUUCAAAAUAGGGAAUACUGCAAAAUGCUGUGCAGACUUUAAGAAGAAUGGUCAGUUUACUAACUGCUGCCUUUCCAAGGUUCUUGUGUAUAGUUCUGAAAGAAUUUUCACCAGUUUGUGUAUCUCUGGGAUAAGAGCCAUGGACAGAGUUACACACAGAGAGAUACUUUUGUUAUAAAGACACUGUUUUUCAGGCUUUUUAGAUCAGUUAGAAAAAUGUUUGGCUUUACUUAAAAUCACAGCUCUUCCUCUUGAAAGGAAUUACAUUUAAAAGUGAAACAAUACUAAAACUCACUUGACAGUAUUCUAGACUUAGAUAUUUCAGUAUUCAAACAAGGUAUGACACAUCAGUGUAUUAACCUUUUUGAAGGACUGACACCUUGUUUAAUAACUAAUUUAGUGUGUAUGGGUGGUGUCUUCCAUGUGAACACCCCUUCUUUCCUGGAGUCACCCAGUGAUAUCCUUUUUUAGUAUCUAGUUCUCUACAGUAAUAUAUAUUUCCUCUACAGGCUCUGUGCCCUAAUAUGUAAUCUUCGGUGACCAGCAUGAAUAUGAAGACAUGCCAAAUUGUAUAAUAGAAUAGGAUAUUUUUCAAAAACAUUGGUGAAAUAUACAUGGUGAUAUAGUUGACCCUCAUGAUUUCUCCAUUUGCUGGGAUUGGGUCUGAAUUAUGCCCAUGGAUAGACAUUUUAAUGAUUAUGAAUUAUUUUUAAAAAUCCCUUAAAAUAAAAAAAUUAAAAAUCAAAAAUUUCUCAUUGGGUAUAGACAUAUUUCAGUCUUGAACAUAGAUUUUUAACUCUAUAGAACUAGGUAAUAUGAUACGUAUGUGUGUGGUUUUAUAAUACUACUUUCAAAUUAACAAAAACAUUCAAUUUCUACCAUUGUUGUAAGAAUGUAAUUUUAUUUUUUAAUAACCACACUCAUGUAUGGUUUUGAUUAUCCCAGUUGAGUGAUUGUGUAUGUAUGCAUAGGAAUGUUUUAUUCAAAUGUAUUUUGGAUUUUCAGUAAUCAUAAAUCAGAUCUUACUUUUAUGUAUAAAAAUCCUUUAUGUAAUGUAAAAUGUAUAAUAUUGUACAUAAUAUUCAGAAUACAAUUAUUUUGGUAAAUUAGUUUGUAUUUUUAAUGUCCCAGUUCCAGUAUUUAAUUAUUUGAAACAUAUUGAAACUUGGUAAUAGUCAAUAAAGCUAUAAAAAGCAAGUGGUAAA